GGGUGCUUGAGGCUUUUUGCUUUGAGCAUGCGCGCUAGGCAGAAAGUCUCAAGCCCCGAGUUAUUUUUCAAUUAACCUGAUGGCUCUCGUAUGAACCAACAGCACAACAGUAGCCUCUUAACCGCAGAAAUGCAAUCGGAGGCUAAAAUG
RNAcentral lists this antisense RNA (150 nucleotides) under Candidatus Regiella insecticola. RNAcentral's name for it is "sok". It matches the Rfam family "sok antitoxin (CssrC)". From Rfam's summary of the family: Also identified in Shigella as CssrC. The record is from RNAcentral. Lineage: Bacteria; Pseudomonadati; Pseudomonadota; Gammaproteobacteria; Enterobacterales; Enterobacteriaceae.